ACGCUCGACACCUACUGGAGGCAGCAGUGGGGAAUAUUGCACAAUGGGGGAAACCCUGAUGCAGCAACGCCGCGUGAAGGAAGACGGUUUUCGGAUUGUAAACUUCUGUUCUUAGUGAAGAUAGUGACGGUAGCUAAGGAGCAAGCCACGGCUAACUACGUGCCAGCAGUCGCGGUAAUCUGAGCGGGCGUGGCAAGGC
This 199-nucleotide ribosomal RNA is filed under the name uncultured bacterium. Its description in RNAcentral is "partial 16S ribosomal RNA". It matches the Rfam family "Bacterial small subunit ribosomal RNA", at positions 328 to 538 of the family's 1533-position model. The record is from RNAcentral.